AAGUGAUUCAAUAAAACAAGAAUAAAACAUUUGCAUAAAAGUCCUGUCAAUAUUAAAACUACGAAGCUUCCGAUAAAAAUACUGGUUAGCUUCCAGC
This is a long non-coding RNA of Melanotaenia boesemani (Boeseman's rainbowfish), 97 nucleotides long. RefSeq lists it as uncharacterized. NCBI's taxonomy places the organism in Eukaryota, Metazoa, Chordata, Actinopteri, Atheriniformes, Melanotaeniidae. The record is from RefSeq and is a predicted model, not a curated record. The transcript is spliced from 3 exons.